GAUGAACGCUGGCGGCGUGCCUAAUACAUGCAAGUCGAGCGAACAGACGAGGAGCUUGCUCCUCUGACGUUAGCGGCGGACGGGUGAGUAACACGUGGAUAACCUACCUAUAAGACUGGGAUAACUUCGGGAAACCGGAGCUAAUACCGGAUAAUUUUUUGAACCGCAUGGUUCAAUAGUGAAAGACGGUUUUGCUGUCACUUAUAGAUGGAUCCGCGCCGCAUUAGCUAGUUGGUAAGGUAACGGCUUACCAAGGAAACGAUGCGUAGCCGACCUGAGAGGGUGAUCGGCCACACUGGAACUGAGACACGGUCCAGACUCCUACGGGAGGCAGCAGUAGGGAAUCUUCCGCAAUGGGCGAAAGCCUGACGGAGCAACGCCGCGUGAGUGAUGAAGGUCUUCGGAUCGUAAAACUCUGUUAUUAGGGAAGAACAAAUGUGUAAGUAACUAUGCACGUCUUGACGGUACCUAAUCAGAAAGCCACGGCUAACUACGUG
This 497-nucleotide ribosomal RNA is filed under the name uncultured bacterium. Its description in RNAcentral is "partial 16S ribosomal RNA". It matches the Rfam family "Bacterial small subunit ribosomal RNA", at positions 28 to 507 of the family's 1533-position model. The record is from RNAcentral.